AUGGUCUCUCAAGUCCCUUCUGAUUAUCGACCAAUAAGCCUUUGUAAUGUCAUUUACAAGAUCAUUUCCAAAACAUUGGCCAAUAGACUCAAGCCUCACCUUCCUGAUUAUAUUGAUCCUUCUCAACAAGCCUUCAUCGGGGGUAGGCGCAUUUCCAAUAACAUCAUUCUAGCUCAAGAAAUUACUCACUCCUUUGCCCUUAAAUCUUGGAAACAACAAGCUUUCUUGCUUAAAAUUGACUUGGCUAAGGCUUUUGAUCGCCUUGAAUGGAACUUCAUCGUUUCUGCUCUUUCACACAAAAAUCUUCAUAGGCAUUUCAUAAAUUUGAUUUACGCUUGCACCUCUUCCCCUAAAUUUUCAGUGAUUAUCAAGGGUCAGCCUUUCGCCAACUUUCGUAGUAGUAGAGGAAUAAGACAAGGAUGUCAUUUAUCACCUUAUCUUUUUGUUCUUGCUAUUAAUGAACUUUCUUUGAGCCUCCACGAUGCUAUGGUCGAAAAUCGCUUGUCUUGUAUCUCUCUUGGUCCAUACUGUCCACCUACUCACUCCAUGCUUUUUGCUGACGAUUUAUUAGUUUGUGGUAAUGCUAUGUAGGAAGCUAAUCAAAUGGCCAAUCUCCAACCAUUUCUGCUCGCAUUCUGGCUAGACUCCGAAUUGGGGUAA
RNAcentral lists this ribosomal RNA (660 nucleotides) under Triticum aestivum (bread wheat). Its description in RNAcentral is "partial small subunit ribosomal RNA". The record is from RNAcentral. Lineage: Eukaryota; Viridiplantae; Streptophyta; Magnoliopsida; Poales; Poaceae.